UCGGGUAUGGUGUAACGGCUAACAUUAUCGCCUCUCAGGCGCUCUUGAGCGACCACGCGAUCGCGAUAGCUCGGGGUUCGAUUCCCCGUACCCGAA
Psilocybe cubensis is the source of this 96-nucleotide non-coding RNA. The record is from the annotation of a RefSeq genome assembly. Lineage: Eukaryota; Fungi; Basidiomycota; Agaricomycetes; Agaricales; Agrocybaceae.